AUACGAGGGGUGCUAGCGUUGUCCGGAAUCAUUGGGCGUAAAGGGUCCGUAGGCGGUUUAACAAGUCAAUUGUUAAAGACAUCGGCUUAACCGAUGGAGUGCAGUUGAAACUGUUAGAAUAGAGUUUAGGAGAGGAAAGUGGAAUUUCUGGUGUAGCGGUGACAUGCGUAGAUAUCAGAAGGAACACCAAUGGCGAAGGCAACUUUCUGGCCUAAAACUGACGCUGAGGGACGAAAGCGUGGGGAGCGAACAGGAUUAGAUACCCUGGUAGUCCACGCCGUAAACGAUGGAUACUAGCUGUUCGACCAACAUUGGUUGGUUGAGUGGCUAAGCGAAAGUGAUAAGUAUCCCACCUGGGGAGUACGCUCGCAAGAGUGAAACUCAAAUGAAUUGACGGGGACCCGCACAAGCGGUGGAGCAUGUGGUUUAAUUCGAUGCAACGCGAAAAACCUUACCUAUACUUGACAUACUUGGAAUGCUUUGUAAUGAAGCAGUGCCUUCGGGAGCC
Molecule: ribosomal RNA, 508 nt
Filed under: uncultured bacterium
Lineage: Bacteria
Description: bacterial SSU rRNA
Rfam family: Bacterial small subunit ribosomal RNA
Source: RNAcentral